This is a long non-coding RNA of Microtus oregoni (creeping vole), 228 nucleotides long. RefSeq lists it as uncharacterized. The transcript is spliced from 3 exons. Lineage: Eukaryota; Metazoa; Chordata; Mammalia; Rodentia; Cricetidae. The record is from RefSeq and is a predicted model, not a curated record.
ACCUUGUCUUCUCAACGGCCAUUGCCUGGCCCUAGGCCUCCUGAUGCACGUGGACCCCUGGCAGACCAUGGUCUCUGUGCAGGACAGGAGGCCAUCAUCGCUAGGUCAGACAUCCUCAUCUGCAUCAUCACCACCAUCUUUAAUAUGGAGAUUUGUAGAUCGCUUGAGAAGAGUUGUGAUUUUCAUGCUACUGACUGAGCUGCAGACCUGACUGUAGUCCUGCUACCC